RNAcentral lists this ribosomal RNA (400 nucleotides) under uncultured bacterium. Its description in RNAcentral is "bacterial SSU rRNA". It matches the Rfam family "Bacterial small subunit ribosomal RNA", at positions 355 to 747 of the family's 1533-position model. The record is from RNAcentral.
CUAAGAAUCUUCCGCAAUGGGCGAAAGCCUGACGGAGCGAUGCCGCGUGAUUGAUGAAGGUAGAGAUAUUGUAAAAAUCUUUUCCAGAUGAGGAAUAAGUGUGGGAGGGAAUGCCCGCAUGAUGACGUUAGUCUGGGAAUAAGCCCCGGCCAAUUACGUGCCAGCAGCCGCGGUAACACGUAAGGGGCGAGCGUUGUUCGGAAUUAUUGGGCGUAAAGGGCGUGCAGGCGGUUAUACAAGUCUGAUGUGAAAACUCUGGGCUCAACUCAGAAGCCGCGUUGGAAACUGUAUGACUAGAAUCUUGGAGGGGGAGUUGGAAUUCCUAGUGUAGGGGUGAAAUCUGUUGAUAUUAGGAAGAACACCGGUGGCGAAGGCGAACUCCUGGCCGAAGAUUGACGCU